Molecule: ribosomal RNA, 167 nt
Filed under: Clariger sp. 'shirohige-sejiro-haze'
Lineage: Eukaryota; Metazoa; Chordata; Actinopteri; Gobiiformes; Gobiidae
Description: partial 12S rRNA
Source: RNAcentral
CACCGCGGUUAUACGAGAGGCUCAAGUCGAUAGAUACCGGCGUAAAAAGUGGUUAGCAUACCAUAAAACUAAAGCUAAACAUCUUCAGAGCUGUUAUACCCAUAUGAAGACAGGAAGUACUUAUACGAAAGUAGCUUUAAAUAAUGUUAUUCACGAAAGCUAGGAAA